Molecule: ribosomal RNA, 484 nt
Filed under: uncultured bacterium
Lineage: Bacteria
Description: partial 16S ribosomal RNA
Rfam family: Bacterial small subunit ribosomal RNA
Source: RNAcentral
AUUGAACGCUGGCGGCAUGCUUUACACAUGCAAGUCGAACGGCAGCGCGGGCUUCGGCCUGGCGGCGAGUGGCGAACGGGUGAGUAAUACAUCGGAACGUGCCCAGUAGUGGGGGAUAGCUCGGCGAAAGCCGGAUUAAUACCGCAUACGACCUGAGGGUGAAAGCGGGGGAUCUUCGGACCUCGCGCUAUUGGAGCGGCCGAUGGCAGAUUAGCUAGUUGGUGGGGUAAAGGCCUACCAAGGCGACGAUCUGUAGCUGGACUGAGAGGACGACCAGCCACACUGGGACUGAGACACGGCCCAGACUCCUACGGGAGGCAGCAGUGGGGAAUUUUGGACAAUGGGCGAAAGCCUGAUCCAGCAAUGCCGCGUGUGUGAUGAAGGCCUUCGGGUUGUAAAGCACUUUUGGCGGGAACGAAAAGGACUGUGCCAAUACCACGGUUCGAUGACGGUACCCGCAGAAUAAGCACCGGCUAACUACGUG